UAAACGGCCGCAGUACCCUGACUGUGCUAAGGUAGCGCAAUCAAUUGGCUUUUAAUUGGAGUCUUGUAUGAAUGGGUUAACGGAAACAAGCUGUCUCACUCUACUUAAUUUGAACUUACUAAAGAGGUGAAAAUUCCUCUAUUAUGAAAAAAGACGAGAAGACCCUUAGAAUUUUCUUAGCAAUCCGGUAAAUCUUACCGUUGAUUUUUGUUGGGGCGACACUGAGACAGUAUAAUUAUAAACUCUCAGAUUUAGAAGAAAUCUUUCGAUAUUUAUAAGCAAAUAUAAAUUACCUAAGGGAUAACAGCKAUAAUUAUUUAUUUAGCUUGUGACCUCGAUGUGGACUAGGRAUCCUUAGACUGUCGUUUAAGGWUAUUGCUCUGUUCGAGCAGAAUUUACCU
RNAcentral lists this ribosomal RNA (401 nucleotides) under Longchaeus schanderi. RNAcentral's name for it is "partial 16S ribosomal RNA". It matches the Rfam family "Bacterial large subunit ribosomal RNA", at positions 1924 to 2597 of the family's 2925-position model. Lineage: Eukaryota; Metazoa; Mollusca; Gastropoda; Pyramidellidae. The record is from RNAcentral.